UACGGAGGAUCCAAGCGUCAUCCGGAUUUAUUGGGUUUAAAGGGUGCGUAGGUGGCCUGUUAAGUCAGGGGUGAAAGACGGUAGCUCAACUAUCGCAGUGCCCUUGAUACUGAUGGGCUUGAAUAAACUAGAGGUAGGCGGAAUGUGACAAGUAGCGGUGAAAUGCAUAGAUAUGUCACAGAACACCAAUUGCGAAGGCAGCUUACUAUGGUUUUAUUGACACUGAGGCACGAAAGCGUGGGGAUCAAACAGG
RNAcentral lists this ribosomal RNA (253 nucleotides) under uncultured bacterium. Its description in RNAcentral is "partial 16S ribosomal RNA". It matches the Rfam family "Bacterial small subunit ribosomal RNA", at positions 524 to 776 of the family's 1533-position model. The record is from RNAcentral.